UUCCGAUCUGGCUCAGAUUGAACGCUGGCCGGAUCGCUUUUACACGCGUACCAAGUCGAACGGCAGCACAGACUUCUGAUCAUGAUGACGAGUGGCGAACGGGUGAGUAAUGUAUCGGAACGUGCCUAUAGUAGCGGGGGGAUAACACCGCGAAGAGCGCGGCUAACCGCACCGCCACGCCAUCUCAGAAAGCGGGGACAGCCGGGCUCUGCGCUAUUAAACGGCCGAUAUCGGAUUAGCUGAAUUGGUGGGGUAACGGCUUGCGCCGGGCGAUCGUAGCUGGUUUUGAGAGGACGACCAGCCGCGCGCUGGGACAGGAACCGGCCCAAGGGCCUCCUACGGGAGGCAAACGCAGUGGGAAUUUUGGACAAUGGGGCGCCACUGUGAUCAGCCAUCCGCGGCGUGUGCCGAUAAGGCGGCGCUGGUUCUAUCCGCUGCAGCGGGGCGGCCUGGAUAAUACGUGCAACUGACGGUACCUGCAGAAUAAGCACCGGCUAACUAAGUGCCGCUGACGCUGGUAAGCCGUAGGGUGCAAGCGUUAAUCGGAAUUGCCGGGCGUAAAGCGUGCGCAGGCGGUUCAGAGAAGAAGAUAAUGAAAUCUGGGGCUUAACUUUGGAACUGCAUUUUUAACUACUGACUAGAGUGUGUCCAGAGGGAGGUGGAAUUCACGCGUCGCAAUAGCGGUGAUGCGUGGUAUGCGGAGGAACACCUGGUAGCGAAGGCGACUCUGGAUAUUUCUGACGCUCAUGCAAAAGCGUGGGGAGCAAACAGGAUUAGAUACCCUGUUAGUCCACGCGCCCUAAACGAUGUCAACUAGCUGUUGGGGCCUUCGGCCUUUCCAGUACGGCGCAACUAACGUGAUUGACCAUGCCGGAACAGUCGCCAAUUACAAACUCAAAGAUUGACGGGGAUUCCACAAGCGAAAUUGGAUGAUGUGGACCAAUUCGAUGCAACGCGAAAAACCUUACCUACCCUUGACAUGGAAUCCCGAAGAAGAUUUGAAUUAACGCGAAGAACCGAGACACAGGUGCUGCAUGGCUGUCGUCAGCUCGUGUCGUGAGAUGUUGGGUUAAGUCCGCAACGAGCGCAGCCAUACAGUAUUCAGAUUUGCUUUGAAAGGGCACUCCUGGCCGAUUUGCCGGUGACAAACCGGAGGAAGGUGGGGGAUGACGUCCGAGUCCUCGCCGUUGCCUAUGGUGGGGCUUCACGUCGCGAUGGUGUGGGACAGAGAGGUCGCCAACCCGCGAGGGGGCCAAUCCCAGAAACCCCGAUCUGUAGUCCGGAUCGCAGUCUGCAACUCGACUGCGUGAAGUCAGAGUCGCUGGCCAAUCGCGGAUCAGCAUGUCGCGGUGAAUACGUUCCCGGGUCAACAUACCUGCCCGUCACCCUGUGGGAGUGGGUUUUACCAGAGUAGUUAGCCGCAACCGUAAGGGCGAUUACCACGAUGAAGUUCAUGACUGGGGUGGGCAGUCAAUGGCUAAAGGUAA
This 1487-nucleotide ribosomal RNA is filed under the name uncultured Bordetella sp. RNAcentral describes it as "partial 16S-23S ribosomal RNA intergenic spacer". It matches the Rfam family "Bacterial small subunit ribosomal RNA". The record is from RNAcentral. Lineage: Bacteria; Pseudomonadati; Pseudomonadota; Betaproteobacteria; Burkholderiales; Alcaligenaceae.